GAGAAUAGUGCAUUGGCACCCAAAUGGUUUAUCAAAUAAGUUGGUUUAUCAGUGCAGAUACUUGAGGAUUUUUAUUUCCCAUGCACUGUUUUAUGGAGGACUUGUAAAAAACAGCAUACAAUUGCAGGAAUGGAUGAUGGGUUAACUGUCAGGCUUUUCAAAGUCCGCAGCAGGGAAGUGUAGUACAUAUCAUGCAUUGUUGAUACCUGUCACGGAUGUCAUAAAAAGUUUUGGCUCCCAAUGUCCUUUCAUCAACCCACACAUGUCAUGGAAGCCACUAGUGACCAUCUAACUGUGCUGAAAAUGAAGUCUCUGCCUAGGUUCUGCGCAAAAUUUUAUCGAAAUUGGUCAAUGAGGGCAGCAGACAAAUCUUGGCUGAAAUUUGACGUCAAAGGAUGGAUUCGACUUUCCCGACCAGAAAGCGUAGCUCCAGCAAGGAAGUUGAUCAGUACAACAUCACAUUACGGACAUUAGGAAGACGGUCCAGUUUUAGAGGCAGGAGGAAACCGGAGUACCUGGAGAAAACCUGCGAGCGCAAGUAUGGACACAAACACUGACUUCCAUUUAUAUGGACAGCCAGAGUUGUCAAACAGAUCACUCGUGCAUGACAGCAGCUUUUGCCUCAAAAUGCACAUUUGUUCCAUCAGUUUGAGUAUUUUUAAUUUAGUGUUCAAAAGAUGCAUAUGUUUUGUAGUGUUUGAAUGUCUACUUGAGAUUUUUGAACACUCUAAUUGUUCUUUUGUUUUGUACUGACGGCCUGCGAUAGUUUGCCAUUUGCCACUGUGACAUUAGCAAUAGGAAAAACUGCACUUAUCAAAUAAGUGAGUAAUGCCUUUAUAGUUCUAGUGAAUUUUGCUUUGUUCUUUUCUCUGUAAAAUCCUACCAAGUACAUAGACAGAUCACUUAGGUGCAUGCCUAAUAAACCAGUGUGGGGGGGUUGGCAGCGAAUAUAUUUGCUGCCCUCAGUUGACUGGUCUAAAGCUACAGCAGUCAUGAUCAAAUUUUCAUACCUUGUAUAAAGAAUGAAAUUCCUUUAGGCAGCAACCUCUUCCCAGGGUAUUGAGCAUGUCGCCCCACAGCAACAUGUACCUGCUCUCUUACGCAGCAAUAUCUGGUCAUUUGUAUACAUGUACAGAAUUUUGCUAAUGAGGAAUAGUCUGGUGCUUGAUAAACGCACUUUGUAUUAGCGUUUUUGGUCUGGCAUGAAAAAGGGUUGAUUCUGUUUUUUCUGUGCGGCAAGCAGUGCCGAGUCAUGCAAAUUAUAUUUUGUUAUUGGUUCCAUCCAAAUAAGGUAACAAUUCCAUCUGUUCUUCUUAUUGAUUUGAAGGGGAGAGGUAUCACUAAAUGGUAUCUCAAGAUUUUGAUUGAUUUCAUCCUGGGAUUUUGGAUGUUUUUCUUUAUAUUUUAUCAAACAAUCCAAGAGUGUACAUGUAUAAAAUGGAAUACCUUUAGUUUGGUGCACUGAUACUUUUCUACUCUUUCCUUAGUUUUCAAUUUUGUUAACCCUCCUGUAACAUUAAACUUUCUGAAAAGCUGAAAAGAAAUUAAAGCUUUCCGAAAAGGAGUGUGCCACCAAAAUGUUACUAAAUAUUUUCAGGAAAGGUGCUCAGGAAAAGAAUAUACAUCUUGUUAUCAAUACUUGACUGAUUAAUUAGCAAUGUAAGUUAUAUUAUAUAUACCCAUAAGAUGCAUUUUUAUCGCAAAAUGCUUUCUCCCAUUCAUUACAGUAAACUUGUGCAAAAUGUAACAGUCACUAUAAACAAUAAUUUGAGGGAAAUUUUUUCUAUUGAAUAUGCAAUAUUGUGUCGACUCUUGCACAUUUGACCAAGACAUGUUCGUUUUGUUUCUAAAUUUUUGUUUGAUCAGCCCUUCUUUGAAGGUCUUGAUACUUUAUUAAUGCCCUAUUGCAGUGUUAUUUCUGUAAUAAAACUCAAAUGUGCUUUGUUCAGUGGAUUAUUCACUGUGCUUCAUUACUGAACACCUGUGUCAUUUUCUUCACAGUAUGCAAACCAAAGUCUCACAAUUUAAGCAUCUAGAACUUGAGUGGCGGAGGAAAUUUAUUUAGGGAAAUUGUACAUGUAUUACUCAGAAACCAUACAGCUAAAUUGAAUGUAGAGCAUCCAUGUGCAGUAGCUGUGUAAGGCUUGCCUGUCUUAUUGUCUUUAGAUGGCCUUGGUAACUGUGUAGACCAUAACCUAUAAACACAAGUUUCUUUUGUGAUCAGUGACCUUAUUUAUAGCUAACCUCACUGUGAAGUUCUGUUGUAGCUACUGGUAGUUAUGGAAGGCUAAAUUGUUUGACCUAACUGACGUGCAUCUGUAGGACGUGAACGUCAUAUUUGACCACACAAAGGUGUUUCUUUUUCUUUUUUCUUUUUGCUUAUCGUAUCUAGAUUUCUUUUCCUCGAAAAGUAUAUUGUGUUGUUGGGGAAUUAAAAUACUUAAGUGUUCAUUUACGUACUGAAUUGGAUUUGUUCAGUUCUGUCUAAUGUGUCAUUAAUUCUUAAAUUAUCAGAUUUCAUACAUCUGCAAAUAGUCAGGAAGCAGCUAAGAAACAAAUACAGAAUAGUGGUGCAUUGAGUGUCGUCAAUUUUUAAUAUUUUGGGGGUUCAUCCUCCAAAUUUUGUGUGAUUGAAAAAUAGAGUUCUCAGGUGGUCUAUGAGAAGGACUUAUUUGUAGAGAUUGUUUCAUUAAGGCCCGACUAAAAAUGGCCUAUUCAAACCAAUUGAUUUUUGAAUUGGAUUUAAUUGGAAUGAAAGAGGUCAAAUUGACAAUCAAUUGGUGCUCAGUUCGUUUCAGUUGGUAUGCU
Acanthaster planci (crown-of-thorns starfish) is the source of this 2808-nucleotide long non-coding RNA. Lineage: Eukaryota; Metazoa; Echinodermata; Asteroidea; Valvatida; Acanthasteridae. The record is from RefSeq and is a predicted model, not a curated record.